UACGGAGGGUGCAAGCGUUAUCCGGAUUUACUGGGUUUAAAGGGUGCGUAGGUGGAUUUGUAAGUCAGUGGUGAAAUCUCCGGGCUUAACCCGGAAACUGCCAUUGAUACUAUAAGUCUUGAAUUAUCUGGAGGUAAGCGGAAUAUGUCAUGUAGCGGUGAAAUGCUUAGAUAUGACGUAGAACACCAAUUGCGAAGGCAGCUUACUACGGAUAUAUUGACACUGAGGCACGAAAGCGUGGGGAUCAAACAGG
This 253-nucleotide ribosomal RNA is filed under the name uncultured bacterium. RNAcentral describes it as "partial 16S ribosomal RNA". It matches the Rfam family "Bacterial small subunit ribosomal RNA", at positions 524 to 776 of the family's 1533-position model. The record is from RNAcentral.